GAUGAACGCUGGCGGCGUGCCUAAUACAUGCAAGUCCAGCGAACGGACGAGAAGCUUGCUUCUCUGAUGUUAGCGGCGGACGGGUGAGUAACACGUGGAUAACCUACCUAUAAGACUGGGAUAACUUCGGGAAACCGGAGCUAAUACCGGAUAAUAUUUUGAACCGCAUGGUUCAAAAGUGAAAGACGGUCUUGCUGUCACUUAUAGAUGGAUCCGCGCUGCAUUAGCUAGUUGGUAAGGUAACGGCUUACCAAGGCAACGAUGCAUAGCCGACCUGAGAGGGUGAUCGGCCACACUGGAGCUGAGACACGGUCCAGACUCCUACGGGAGGCAGCAGUAGGGAAUCUUCCGCAAUGGGCGAAAGCCUGACGGAGCAACGCCGCGUGAGUGAUGAAGGUCUUCGGAUCGUAAAACUCUGUUAUUAGGGAAGAACAUAUGUGUAAGUAACUGUGCGCAUCUUGACGGUACCUAAUCAGAAAGCCACGGCUAACUACGUG
This 497-nucleotide ribosomal RNA is filed under the name uncultured bacterium. RNAcentral describes it as "partial 16S ribosomal RNA". It matches the Rfam family "Bacterial small subunit ribosomal RNA", at positions 28 to 507 of the family's 1533-position model. The record is from RNAcentral.